AGGCUUUGAUCCUGGCUCAGAUUGAACGCUGGCGGCAUGCCUUACACAUGCAAGUCGAACGGCAGCACGGGAGCUUGCUCCUGGUGGCGAGUGGCGAACGGGUGAGUAAUACAUCGGAACGUACCCAGUAGUGGGGGAUAGCUCGGCGAAAGCCGGAUUAAUACCGCAUACGACCUACGGGUGAAAGCGGGGGACCGUAAGGCCUCGCGCUAUUGGAGCGGCCGAUGUCUGAUUAGCUAGUUGGUGGGGUAAAAGCCUACCAAGGCGACGAUCAGUAGCUGGUCUGAGAGGACGAUCAGCCACACUGGAACUGAGACACGGUCCAGACUCUACGGGAGGCAGCAGUGGGGAAUUUUGGACAAUGGGCGAAAGCUGAUCCAGCAAUGCCGCGUGUGCGAAGAAGGCCUUCGGGUUGUAAAGCACUUUUGUCAGGGAAGAAAUCUUUCGGGCUAAUACCCCUGGAAGGAUGACGGUA
Molecule: ribosomal RNA, 475 nt
Filed under: uncultured Burkholderiales bacterium
Lineage: Bacteria; Pseudomonadati; Pseudomonadota; Betaproteobacteria; Burkholderiales
Description: bacterial SSU rRNA
Rfam family: Bacterial small subunit ribosomal RNA
Source: RNAcentral